RNAcentral lists this long non-coding RNA (3687 nucleotides) under Hordeum vulgare. RNAcentral's name for it is "long non-coding RNA (HVUL_LNC014354)". The record is from RNAcentral. Lineage: Eukaryota; Viridiplantae; Streptophyta; Magnoliopsida; Poales; Poaceae.
UUGUCCACUUCAGGCUGGCCUAAGUAUGAUGGGUUAUGUUAGGGCGCUUGGCCAAUCAGCCCAUUCACGUUGGCCACUUGAAAGUAUAAUUAGGGCUCAUAUCCUAGUACAACUCACAACCCAAUGCUACGGAAUAUUGCUAGUACGUGUUGGAUUUCAUUUCGGGUGGCCGAUCCAUGGGGUGUUGGCCCCCAUUCCUCCCGGUUCCGCCCCUGUCUCCAAAGACCCGGAUAUCCGGUCCCAAUAAGGUGGUAUAGUGAGCUACCCUAAUAGUACUUUGUGAUUAUGAGGAGAUGUGCUUUGCAGUUCAAGUAAUCCAUGCUCAAUAGUCCAUUCUAUUUUGAUUUUCUCUAUGCAUGUACAUAUAAAUAAUAUAAAUACAACAUUUCCAUAUCUUCAUGUGAAAAUAGUAUGUCUCUAUCACAAACAAUUCAACAUCAUUCAAAUUCUAAAAUUUUAAAUUCAAAUUGAAACAUGAAACAUAGGGCUCAAACAUAGAUCAUCAACAGUCUCAUCUCCACGCCCCCCCCCAGAAUCCUUGAUGCUUCCAUAUGCAUUGAUUCCACAUAUACUCAAUGUGUUUCAUCUGGCCCGUUGUUGUACAUGAACAUGAAUUUGUAUUCUUGCUCCAUCGUACUUGCAAACACCACCUCUCCCAACAUUCUUAACCUAUUCUAGUCUUCUAUUCGGUGGCCACCUUCGCUCCUCAAAUGCCACUUUAUCCUCCACCAUGGCCUUGACCUCCAACCACCUUAUUUCCUUGCCUUGAUUCCACUCGGCACAUCUCCCUCUUUGUUGUGAUCAUCUAUUAGAAUUUGGUAUGUAAUGCAACACUAUCUCCUUCUUUCUUAAACUUCUUUUCUUUCUUCCUCCCCAAAGGCUUCUUGUGGUUGGUGUCAUUGAGAUUGGAGUAGUACUUUAACCAUCCUCCUCCUCAUCUUCCUCAUUGUAUUAACUUACGGAGUGUCAAACUCUAGAGACGAUGUGUUGUUUGACCUUUUCUUAAGUAGAUGAUGAUCAUUGUUCUCCUUGCCAUCUUCUUGUUGUGGAGCAAUAACCAAGAGUGACAUAGGAAAUACCUUGUCCUUCUAUUCUCUUUACCUAUACAACUCAUGGUUGUAGUUAAUAUGGCAUUUUGAAUAAUUCAUGGCAAAUAAGGUUGAAAUAUUUCAUCAGCCAACAUAAAUGCACUAUUUAAUAAUAUUUUACUUAUUAGGUCAUUCGUGGUCACUCCACUUUGAUGAGGCAUGAUCAACCUAAUGAACAAACUUGCUCAGCAGUUGCAACACUCUUGAAUUGGAUUCUAUCAUUUACCAGGUGAACUAAAUGAUCGAUCUAAUGGACUUUUUACAUUUUGGUAAAAUUGGUCCACAAUGUUCUUCCAGGAAAUCAUUAUGUUUUGAGCAGUCCCUGCAACUCAAUCAAGACACACACUGCGCCAUGUGGUAAACAAAGCUUCAUCUUCUUUUACCAAGUGAUUGGCCGAUCUUAUCGAUUUUGUAUUUGUAUAAGGAACAACAUAUUGAUCAACAAUUAAAUGAAUUAGACAAGGAGAUAGCAUCUGUGUCGAUGGAUUACAUGUACGCAAAUGGGCUACUAAUAAGAAAACUACAUUGAUUUAUCCCUGCAACUGUUGAAAUUCAUAAAACUAUAAUCACAAAAGAAAUCACAGCCACUUUGUAUUAUGUAAAACAACUACAAUAGGCACAAAAUAAAACUAAAAUGCAUUGAGGGCGUUUCGUCAAAAACAGUGUGUGUUAUCCAUGUCGGCAUCGACAUCGGUGUCGGAGGCCAAAUAGGUUGUCGUCGUGCUCAUAACGGGUAGUGGUAUAAUAUGAAUAUGUAUGAAAUCAUAAAUUUAUUCCUUAGGCGGUUUUAACACAUCAAGGAUGAUGACAUCAUAUUUAUAAGGUCCAUAGUUCUAGUUUAUUUUUAAAAAUGUUUUUCUCUUGAAAACACAUUUGUAUAGAGAAUUAAAUUGAAACUGAAAAUUUUCUAAGUAAACAUUGUGGCUAUAAUAAUUAUGGGCACCUCCAACAAAUGAAAUGAUGUGGAGGCACGUUAGGUCCCAAGAGACAUCGUUGAACAUGCACAUGUUAAAUUUGCAGAGCUACAAUUACUACGAACUACUCUUAUAUGAUGCCAUAUGUAUUCUCUUUAUUUUUUUCUCAGAUGUGCCACAUGCUGCCUCGUCCAUGCCACGAUGGAAAUAUAAAACCUUGUUGUACAUGUGACAUGGUAUCGAAACCAUGCUAUAAAAGGUAGCGUAGUUGCUACCACAUAAUACUCAAAACAGAGAAGUGAAGAGAAGACGAGAGGCAAAAACGUCGAGCGAAGGCCAACAGUGUUAGCACUUAGCAGCCCAAUUCUGGUAGGCUUGAGAGACAUCAAAAACUCGGGGAUUGUUUGAUUAUGCACCGUGCCAAUGUUGAGCUAGGUUGAGUUACCACCCGCUCCAAUAUUCAUAUAGAUGAACAUAAAAUCAAUGCCUGAAUGGUCCCACCACACGAAGCUGAGCUACGAGAUCACUGAACCUGCCUUUGUAUUGUGGCUGCUUGCUACAAUGGUGCUCAGGUGGUUUACAGAAAUUCGUUGUAGCAUGCGCCCGCUUGCCUCGGCAUGCGCUUUUGGCAGAACAUCAAGUUGCCGGAAUUGUAGCGCAGACCGGCCCUCUCCUUUUGGUCUGCACAGACCGGCGCGCAGCUUGGAAACAAGUAUUCCAUGGCGGGAUUAACGCGGCAGAAGCGGCCGCAUGCCUCUUUGUUGUCGCCAACGAAAUAGUCAUGUCCAGUGCGUACACGUCGUCCACCAGUGUGUGGGGUUGCUGGACUCCUGCCGCCCAAAAGGUGCUCGGCAAAAUGCCCCAUCAAAAGAAGGUAAUAUCGAGUUGUUGACAUUUGUGAUCCACAUCUCCUUUGCCACCUCAAUUGAUCAAAGCAUGCAUGGGGUUUGGUCUUUGCCACAUCAGCCUUAUCAACAUGUGCCUACUAGCUAGACAGAUUUGUUGUCAAAACAGGGUAAACUAAUAAGAACAAAAAUUCUACACCUAAGAUAAAAAAUCAUACGUAUUCUUACUUCACUUUCCUAACUAACCCUUUCAUCCCCUGAUUUCAACUGGGUGGCCACCCUUCUCUUAAUUUCUAUCAAUUGAGAAAGGACACCUAAGCUAUUACGUCGGCUUACGUAUGAUAGCUACUUAGGUGUAGCAUUCUCGAUGUUCAUUUGUUUUUUGAUAAAAUUCCACAAUGUAAGAUGCAUUUCUUCUAGUUUCUCAUAAUUUCAUCGUUAGCCUUUCAAAAAAACAAAAUAUUUCUUCUCCAAUUGCAUGCAUCUGUUAUUGUAAAGAGAAAAAAGAAAGUAUCUCCCUACUGAUUUCGUGUAUCUCUUACUUUCCUAGCGUAGAUGAUUUAGUCGCCGCAAAUAAAUAAUUUAGCCAAGGUUAAUUUGGUCCUAACAUGUGUAUAAUUAUAUGCUUCGGUCAUCGCAAUAAAAAUAAUACACCUUACAUAAAGAAAUGAAGGGAGUACGAAUUAGAUUGAUUUUUUUACAUCAUGGGCCUUAAAAGUGAUGGUGAAGGCAGCUCUAGUAGAUCCCCUAAAUUCAAAUUUGAGAAUAAGAUAAUGUGUUAUAGCGAGUUAAGAGCUACCUAGCAGAUCCCCUCAUGUAGUGCUCUGGCCAGAGCUAGAC